RNAcentral lists this non-coding RNA (44 nucleotides) under Schistosoma mattheei. Lineage: Eukaryota; Metazoa; Platyhelminthes; Trematoda; Strigeidida; Schistosomatidae. The record is from RNAcentral.
AUCUAGCCGAAGAGUCCCAAACAGGACGAAACGCACUUCUUGGA